AGUACAGACACAACCCCUGUGAUUAGAGGCUGAUCUCCACAUCUGAAUGGGACAGAGAAAGGAGGGACCCGAGACAUAGAUUGACUCCCCCCUCCCCCCCCCGCCCGCCUCUGAGACUUCCAUUGAGGAAAACGGAACAGGAGAAAGGGGUGAAGGAAGAAGAAACAGGACCCCCCCUCCCCGAAUACAAUAAGAGAAGAAAGCGGCAAAGCCUUUGGCAGGAGAAAAGUAUGAUCAUGCCUGAACUGUGUUAGUGCUUUCUCUUCUCUCUCUGUCGGCUUGCUUCUCCCUCUUUCUUUCUCUCUCUUUCUCUUUCUCUGUCUCUCUCUCUUUGUCUCCGAGGUGUUUAACUUUGGGGGAACCUCGGGCUGCUGGAGCUGGAGGCAUUUCUGCUCCGCAAGGGACGAAGCUGGACGAGGCGGCGGCGGCGGCAACGGCGGUAGCAGCGGCGGCAGCAGCAGCAAAGAGGCAGCCACAUGCUCCAAGUGGGGGGUGUUAAAAGUUGAGACCCGAUUCCAGGCGCUGUAGAUCGAAACAGGUUGGUGGGAUCUUUUAACAGUAGCAGCCGCAGCCGCAGCAGCAGCAGCAACAACAACAACCCUCCCCUCCCCCCUCCUCUUAAACUUUCAGUGCUAGUUUAGUUUUUAAUCCAUACAGUAGUUCCUUCCUCUUUCUCUCUACACCCCCCCCCCCAGCCGCGCGCACUCUUCUGCUUUAAAGAGAUAUAUAUACCUUGCAUUGAAUAUUUGCGAUCAGGAACGACUUAAAGUUGAUAAACUGGCCGGUCUGUUGCGCCUGCCCCCCAGGUGUUUUGGAAAAAGCAGGUGUGUAGAGGAGGCUGAGAUUUAUGCUUUGUUGAUUCCCUCCCUUCUCCCUCACCCCCCUUUCCCGUAUCCUUCCUUACUCUCUUUCUCCCUCUGAGAUUGCAACCUCAAGGAUGUUAGGGUGUGUAUGUGGAAAAUAUAUAUAUAGAAAAACUACUUGGCGAAGGCAGCCUCCUCUCGGUUUAAUUUAUCAGUGCCUUUUAGUAAAAGAGACGCGUGAAAGUUCGGGGUACCCAGAAAACGGAGCACUCCAGACAAAGAGAGGUGCUGGUGGAAAUAACUUUUCAGCUGGGAUUUACAGAGGGUGGCAUGGAAACCAAAGGAAUCGGAUAUGUGAGACUAGUUGGGGUGUUGGAAAGCUUUUUUCUUUGUUCAUGGGGGGAGUUGUGAGGAUGGGAGGCAGGGAUAAGAGGUUCUUGCUUAUAGGGAAAAAUGAAGGAAGGAGCAUGCAGUGAGUGGAUUUUUAUUUUUUUUUUGUUCCUCUGUUUUGUGAAUGUGAAGAGGGGUGGGGAGUAGAUGUUGCAAAACCGCUUUGGGGUUUCUGCAGAUCAAUCAGUCCUGUAAGUGUGUCUUUGAAUUACAAUUUAUUGUGAUUGACAGGAUGGAUAGGCUCAAAGGCACUCACAUUUAUGGUCUUCUUGAGUACACAUUUAGAGUGGGGGUGAGAUCCUGAAUUGGGAUAGCAGAAUUUCUUGUCUUCCCCACUCUGAAAUAACUUUUUCCUGGCAAACAAGUUGGCAACGGAUAGGAAAGUUUUUUGUCUAGCGAAAAGAUCGGCUCUCUGGCUUAGGUCUAUUCUUUAGGGUAAUAAAACUUUGAGGUGGUAGAGAUGCUAGAAAAAUAUUUCAUAAAUCCUGAAUUCCCCUUACUUCUUACUGGUUUUUAUACAGUGGCUGAAAUUUAAAUUUGCUUUAUUCUAAAUAACAAGACUAAAAAAAAACUUUUAAUGGCUCUUUAAAUUAUUAUUUCCUGCUGGGAAGGUAGCAAUAAAUAUACUCUGUUGUUACAGUAGUUCACUUCAUCAUCUACAUUCUUAAAUGAGCUUGAUCUUCCUCGUUUUAUAUAUUUCUUAAAUGCACAAAACGUAUUUAUUGCUGUCAGGUAAUGUUUUUGGCCCAAUCAGUCUUUCAGUCUGUCUCCUCAGCUUCUUGUCGGUUUGUCUUCUACUCCCACCUUUAAAUGCCACCUCUGAAUUAGAAAUGUUUCUAAUAUCCCUUAGAGCAGCAAACUUGAACUAAAAUUAGCAAAGAAAUGAUCGUAUACAUUGUUCACUAUAAUACAAUGUGAUGCCAUCCCAGUGCUCCCUAAAAAAAGGGGGGAGAACCUAUAUAAAUUUUUAUAUAACCUAUAUAAAAGUGGGAAAGGUGCAAAUAUAUAUAAUUUCAAUGCCAUGGUGAUUGAAACUUGAAAGGGGAAAAUUUAUAUUCAGACUUAGGAGCUUAGAAGUGAUGUUCUCGGUUUAUCUGUAUAGGUUUCUCCUAACUGAGAACUUUUUAAAAGCACAAAUCUUAAAAAACAACCUAAAACAUCAACAUAUUUUUUUAAAAAGGAGCUCAAUAGAUAUUUUGCUGUGAUUGUGAGUUGGGACUGGGUCUUCUAGUAGGUGUAUCAUAGUUUUGUGAGCAUUAGUCGGUCAUUAAGAGAAAGGGAGCAAAUUCAUUACCAGCCUUUCUUGGGCAGCUGAGAAGUUUCAAGUAAAAUUUAUUUUAAAUCUUGUAGUUGACAUGGGUCUGUGAAGAUAAUGCUCAAUUUCUAUCAUCGUUUUCAUCACCAUUGACACACAGCAGAAUAAUUAAUAAAGUUACGGAUCUUGGUUGUUUUAUAAAUUUUCAUAAGUGAUAAAGUUCUGAAUGCUACGUAACGCAGAUGAGUUCAAAUAUGGGGGGAGUGUUAAAAAUGGUUUUAUUUUGGCAGACCAUUUUUUUGGUAUGUGAUCUGAAACAAAAACUCCCAUUGAAUUUGGUAUUUAAAAAAUGAAAUCAUUUCAUCAUCUCUUCUCAAGUUCAAAAUAAACUUCGAAUGGAUGAGAAUAGGUAUACUAAUUCAUUAGAGACACUUAGACUCUAAAAGAUCUUUUGAAGCGCAGUAUUACAAGGAAUGCAUUUGACAAACUCAUAGUGAGAUUUGUCUCUUCUUAAUUUAGCCCUAAGGAAUUUCACUACAGAUCCCAUUCCAGGGACCAUUGCUGACUUCAAUCAAGUGCUCAGUCCGAAAUACUGUUUCUUUGGAGACAAAAAUUUACUCCAGUUUUUAGCAAUGGCUUAUAACUUCAGUUUAAUGCUUUCAGAAAAGCUGUGGGGUGUACAAUAAAAAAGAAUUAUUACAUUGUGUUAAAAGGUGGGUAUAAUCAACAACAGAAAUAGUAUAGUAUUCUACAGAUAUAUUACUACAUGUUAAAACAUUUACACAAGAAGGGGCUUGUGUUGCUCACAGGCCAUUUUCUGUCAAAUUGUCACAGUGUGUUACUUCCUUAGGCACUGGGCCCUGUGAGUUGUGUAUGCUGCCUGCAGUAGCAUCCAGGAUCCUAAACCAUUUUUACACAUAUUUAACAUUGCUUAAUUUCUGUUAAUUGUACUUUAAACUGAGAGCAUAUAUUGCAGGUGAGUGAUGCUUGUAUAACAUGAUUUAAAAUAUUUAACCCCCUUCCCCUCUCAAGUUUUUAAAAAAACCCAGUCAGAUUUAAACUAAGAAAGAUGGUCAGAACCAGAUUCAUAAUUUUUUGUGCAAACCAGGUCCGGUGGGGUGUGUGUGUGUCAGUUGGUUCUGAUUCCAAAUCUUUGUUCCUUUAUUUUCUCCCCCUCAGAAAUGGGUGCACAUUGAAGUGGAGUAAAUUGCUGAGCCCCUGUGUUUCCUGUAUUUUGAAUUGAUUUUAUAUAAAGUUCUUGGAAGUUUAAACAAAUCUUCAAAACUUAAUGCUUAUGCGUAUGUGCAUAGAAUGUAAACAUCUAAAUUUUGAGUGGGGAGAACAUCUAUUUAGUUACAAUUGAUGCAAGUGAUUAGUUAUAUUUUAAAACUACAAACAUAAUGAAAAGGAAAAAUGUUUCUCUAGUAAAGUGCUAUCUUAUAUGAUUAAUUUGAGUAUUUUGGCAUGGAAAUAUAUGAUCAAAAACCUUCUCUCCCAUCCAUUUUUGAAUUCUUUUAAAGCAAAGAUUAAAAGGGGUGGGGAGUACUCCAGUCCCACAGGCACUAAGCACUGGUGUUAGGCAAAAACCUUCUUGCAGAGUAAGAUACAUACAGUAGGCUGCCUUUUCACAGCUCCAUUGUGUAAUAUUGUAAGGAAAGCUGGGUAAAUAGGCAUGGAAUUUCUUUCUUCCCGGACUGGUAACUUUCUAGACCAUGAAGUCGUCAAGUUCAUCUGAUACUCUAAUGUCACAGUUUAGGAUUAUAAUAAGAAAAGUUUUUUUGUUUGCAUGUAGGACUAAAGGAUGUAAUAAUUGAGAAAAUAAUUUGGAGUGAAUAGUUCAUUCAAUUUACACUGCAUAUUUUCUUCUUAUAUUAACAUUUUGAUUGCUCUUUUAUUUAUUAAGAGUACAAUCAAUAAUAGCAAAAAAUCUGGUGGAUCUCUAAUUCAGAUUCUCUUUAUAGAAAGGAGGGUUUCUUUAAGAAGAAAGGGGGGAAAUCUAUAAAACAAAGAGCAAAUAAAAUAACCACUUCAGGCGCUUUCUCUUUUUCUUUUCUAAUAACCAAGCCGGGAACUAUGUGCAGUCAGUUGUGAAGUUUUUGCCCAAAGAAGCCUAAGAGCUUUUCUUUUCUCAUGGCAGAGGGGUUGCUUUUGAAUCUGAUAAUGUUUGUGUGUGUCUCGCUGUGGGGCUGAAAUGGGGAAGGGAGGGGGUGAUGGCUGAAAUGUUUCUGUUGCAUGUGGGGGGAGAUCGAAGUUGGAGGAAGAAAAGAUACUGUUGUGUUUUGCUUUUUAAAGUGACAUACAGUGCAAUUCACCCAGAAAUAAAUCUCACUAAGUUCAAUGGGACUUACUUCCAAGUAACCAUGGUUAGGACUGCUGUGAUAAAGUGUGUGCCUGUGUGAGAACUGGGGAGAGUUAGAAUUCUGAACCCCCACCUUAAAACUAGAGGGGGAAGAGAUGGAUCUCACAGAAAAGAUGAGCAUAUAUGUGUUCCCCUUCCCUUAGAAUGUAAAUUUUAUAGCUUGGCACCAUUUAGUAAAGAGCUUUCCACCUCCGCUUUGCACUUCCAAUCAGUGAUUUUCCCUGAAAGUUGAAGCGGGGAGAGAAGUCAUUUGUUCACCAAAGUCCUUCUUUACUGGUAGCAGGUGUUUGUUUCUAGAAAAGGCAUUCACUCUAAAAAAAGGUUAGGGGAUAACAUCAUAUAAAGCUACUCAUCUGUGCCCUGUGCUUCAGGAAGACAACAUAUUGUUACACAGGUUCUUGGCACUGAGAUCCUGCAAGAAAUUCGUUAUCAGCCGUUAUAAUCAAACUCUGCUUGUGUAUGGUUUGGCCUUCAGGGUAGAAAAAGGCUCUCUUAUUGCUUCCUUAUGGAGGAACUUGCUUUUGCCUGCAAAAAUAUAUUGUUUUAUCCCAGUUGUCUUAAGAGAGGGCAAUAAAAGAUCUUUAACAUGAUUUAAAGACAACAACUUCAAAACAAGUCCCACUGAUGCCCGUUUUGAUUUAAUUAUUUUCAAUUUGGCAUUGUUGUGCUGUUGCAUAGAACAGGAUGCCACCUUUCAAUCUUGGCUAAUUCACUUGCCUCCAGGGCUGAGUGAUUUCCUCCUUACACUGGGAGUAAUUGCCACAUGGCAAGUUAAAACACACCUUCAGAAUUGUUGUUGAUAGGAAAAGAGUGAUGACUUAAAUUAUAUGAGGGAAAUCUGUACCUGGGAGGUGUGUGAUAGGAGAUAUGAUUAACAAAAUAAUAAAUUUUCAAAUUUUGAAUGCAGUUUUACUAUUAUAUCAACUUGGAAAUUGGCAUCCGUGCCACAAACUUAGAUUUCAUUCACUUCCAUUUGUUGAUUUGUUCUGUUAAUUUUUCUGGCUUUGGAUCAAAUAGACACAUUAAUACAUUUCUCUAUUAAUUCAUUGUGCUGCUUUGUCUCAGAAGCUCCUUCACUGGUCAUAAACAUUUUUUUCUUGGUAGUCGAGAGGGAGGCUUUUGAAAUGUUUGUUUUGUUUUUAAGUUAAAAAUACUAUUUUCACAUUUGACUUUGUUCUUCUAACCACACUGGAGUUUCAGUUCUAGUGUGUGCAGUUUGCACAUGGAAUUUAAAACAGUUUUUGUUUUCUUUGAAAAAUCUGCUUGUCUUACGUGAAAAGGGUUUUGAAGCAAUACAGGGGGGAAUGCAGUAGAUAGAACAUUUCCAGAAUUCAGUUUCAAUUUGUCUUAUAACAGUGUAUAUAUGUGUGCGCACGUUUAAACUGAUGGUUCAGUUGAUUAUUGAAUUUCUAUCCGUUAAUAUAUUUUCCACAGAGAUCCUGAUUUUAGGAAAGGGUUAAAAAGCUGAACUAGGAUGGAGGAUAUAUUAAAAAGUACAAGUGCACUUGCACAUUUGUAUACAUAAGGUAAUUUAAGCCAAGAUCCAUAGUGUGGGGAUUCAUUGGGAAAACCUGGAGUCUCGUUUUGUUUUAUAAAAACCCUGCUGUGUCUGGUGAACAGAGGUUGUCUGUAUAGAGGACGGUUAUUGAAAACUUUUCAAUGUAAGUAUCUCAUCAGGUCAGUAGAGUUUCCUGGACAAGGUGUUAGUUAGCAUUGUGAAUCUGACUCUUUCAAAUUCACUAUUGCACAUCGUUCUCUACUGACUUGGUCUUCAUGGCAAUAUCAGCAUUUGUUAUCUGCUAGCCUGCACAUGUUACCCAACCUCCAUGUCCUUGCAAAGAGACAGAAUCUGAUCAAUUCACUGCCCGCUUACCUGAAACACUUCCAUCCGUUUCAGGACUUUCAACAACAAAUGGAUCAGUAGACGAGGAUUUCUGCCACCCAUUAAGGGUUGUUGUGUAUCCUGGCAUUCUGGAUGGAGUAUUACGUUAACUGCAUGCAAACUUCAUAAAAGCACACUAUAAAAAUUCUAAGUAUCGAU
Podarcis lilfordi (Lilford's wall lizard) is the source of this 6848-nucleotide non-coding RNA. The record is from the annotation of a GenBank genome assembly. Lineage: Eukaryota; Metazoa; Chordata; Lepidosauria; Squamata; Lacertidae.